GUUGUGCUUGUUAAAGAUUCAAGACAUGACAAAAUCCUUUAUUUUCCAAAGGAGGGAAGAAAAUGGGCUGUUUUUUGUCUCCAUGGUUCUGCCACCCUUCACCACUGGCAGCAGCUGGCCCAGCCUCACCUUGGGGGCAUCCUGGACCCCCGGCCCGGUGUGGUCACCAAGGGCUUCCGGACACUGGAUGUUGACCUGGAUGAAGUGUACUGCCUUAACGACUUUGAAGAAGAUGACACAGGUGACCACAUUUCUCUCCCGGGCCUAGCUACCUCCACGCCAGUUCAGCACCCAGAGACCUCAGGUGAGAGGUCCCGAGCACACGUGACUGUCUCAGGCAGCAGAAGUUACCCGAGCCGGCCUCAGGCUUCCCCAGAGGAGAUGCAGGAGAUGCCAGCAGCCACGGAGGAGGAGGAGGAGGAGGAGGAGGAGGGGUCUGGUGAGGGCACCACAAUAAGUCCUGUAAACCUGGCACCUUUACCAGAGGCAGAGUUCUGGGCCAUUCUCACUUCUGUUCCGGGCAUCAUCUGUAGUGGCUCUUUGUCUGUAGCUUCCGCUCGUCUGUGUGGGUGACAAUUAAAGCAUUCCCAUUGUGCCAUUCUGUUUUUUAAUACAGAGUCUCAUGCCUCCUUUUUGUAACAAAUGGGCGUAGCCCCUGCCCAUCUUGGAGGUGCAGGGAUUUUUAAAUGGGAGCAGGAGAGGCUGCUAAAAAGAAGUGGGUUAUCGGCCUUACAAGAACGUCAGGACCCUUCUUCCUGUUAUCGGUGUCGCCCCAUGUCUGAGGGGCAGAUUCUAGAGUGAUUUCCCGACUGAACGGGGCUGACCUGGGCAGUGCUAGGGGAAUUGUGAGUUCUGGGUCAUUCUGAAAGCAAAUGACAGAAUCUGUUACCUGCGGGUUGCACUGAGAGAGAGAGAAGCCCAGAAAACGUUCAGGAUCCAGACAACACUUGAUAGACCAGCCUUUUGACUUUAAUUACUUCAAUGAAGGCAUAUAUGUCACUUUCUUUCUAGCUUACACAUAUUCAAAGUGGAAUUUUUCAAAGUCAUUAACCAAAUAAACCCUAACAGAAUGUCAUUAAAUUCUUCCAGAGGACUCUAGAUGAAUCUAGAAAAGACAUUGAGCUGAUCUUGCCUCCCCACUCCCCUACCCUAGUCUCUGAAGGUGAGCCUGAGUUUGUAGAAUGACCCAUCUCAGUUGCCCCUAGAAUGGGAAGCUUUCUACUCAGGGCCCUGGGAGCAUGGGUCUGUGGUCACCAUAUGCCCCAGAUAGUUACCCUUUACUCUUCCUGGAUCUCCCAGAUCCACAUGCUGCAAAGCUCUGUGUGAUAAGGGGACAGACACUGAAAAAGUCCUGUCAUCCUUGUUACAUUUCUGAGUCACCACCUUUGAAGGAAGGACAUUCAUCUUUGUGAUUCACAAUUUUCAUCUGCAGAGACUCCAGCAUUCCCCACAAAAACACAAGGCAGGAAGGAACCAAGGUUCUUGGUGGUGUCUCCCAUCCCUUGGCUAAUUUCUGAUAGCUGUGGUCAAGAGACUUGAUUUGGGCCUGAUUUUUCUUUUUCCUUUGUUGUCAACUUCCAAGGAGUCAUAGGUAAAGUUGACAAUUGUUUAACAUUUAGAUUUAUUUAUGGUUUGAUUUUUUUAAAGCAAUUAAGUAACCAGAUUAAGUUUGUGCAAAAAUGAAGAUGCUUAUCUAUGUAGUAUCUACACAGUCAACAAAGGGCAACUGGCCGUGUUAGCCAUCCUACCCCUGUCCUAGUGGCCAUCUGGCAGGCAGGUGUCCUUGAAGAACAGUAUCUGAGUGACUUGUACUGAAAGGGUAGACAGUGCCUUCCCCACAGCUUUACAGGUAGAAGGUGAAUCCAGGAAGUUCAAGGACUACCACUGGGUGCAUCUUUGAGAAGUUGAACAGAAGCUAUCAUGUUGACAAACAACUUCUCUUGGAGGACCAAGGGAGAGAGGGAAGUGAUGAUGAGACUAAAGUCCCAACCAUAAGCACUGGUUUACAUAAAAAGGAAGGGAGCAGCUCCUGGUGGAAAGGAGCCAGGAAACUAAUCAUGAGGACUAAAAAGUCACCAUAAGCAGUGACCGUUCUUCCUAGGCCCUCCUUACUGAAACCUGCAGCAAAUCCACCCCAGCAACGUUAUUUGAGGUGAGGCAUGCACAGUUAUAGUUGAAACUGUAGAAGGGUCAGGCUCAAGAUAUGUGAAUUCAAAAAGGAAUUAUCUAGGUUGUUAAAAGUAAUUUAGGGAUGGUCUCAUUGUUUGAAUGACCUAGAGUUCUUUUGAACUUGUUUUCCUGAUAAGACCCAUCUCUAAAAGCUCAUCAGAGCGGGAAGGAUGUACUCUGACUUGGCUCUUUUUUUCUCUGUUGGGAAUGACAGAGCCAUUUUGAUGUUUGGAAUGUGGAAAGCAUUUUACUCUGUACAUAAAUCAUCCUCGAGGCUCCAGGUGGCUCUCUGUAUACAACCAGUGAGUCACAGGCAGACAGAUGAGCCUCGGUGGGAAGACUUGGGGCAUCCUCUGAAUUUGGGGAUUUGUAUCCAGCUGGUCUGGUCUGUGCUUUGGUCCAUCAUCCACACUUAGCCACAGUCCUGGGAUUCGCCAUUCUGUCCAGGAAGAUUUCAUAGGGAGAAAUUCUGAAAACAAGUUGAUUAACCUUUUUUCUUAACAACUGGUGUGAUGGGCAAACUGGGAAGACUUGUAUUUUAGGCACUUUUGUCUAGAGCCUGCUGUCCCAUGUCAGGGGUGGGGGGAGUUUUGAGCACUGAAAAAAUUUUAUUAAUAUAUUUUAAUGUGUUCUUUGAAGUAUCACUUGGUGAUUUUUUAAAAUCCAAUGUCUUUAAAAGGAUCCAUGUUAUUGUAUUGUAAAUAAUUUAGAUGAUUAAAAUGGAUUAUUU
This 2899-nucleotide long non-coding RNA is filed under the name Ictidomys tridecemlineatus (thirteen-lined ground squirrel). RNAcentral describes it as "lncRNA (ENSSTOG00000033928.1)". Lineage: Eukaryota; Metazoa; Chordata; Mammalia; Rodentia; Sciuridae. The record is from RNAcentral.